AAGGUGUAUAUCGCCCUUGCUGCGGUUAAAAAGCUCGUAGUUGGAUCCCAAGCCCAGGACCCGGUCCACCCACAGGGUGUGAACUGGGCUCCGGGGCUAAUACUGCUGGUUUUCCCAAUGUGGCCUUAAUUGGUUGCAUUGGGUGGCUGGCGAGUUUACUUUGAAAAAAUUAGAGUGCUCAAAACAGGCGUUUCGCCUGCAUACUGGUGCAUGGAAUAAUGGAAAAGGACUUCGGUUCUAUUUUGUUGGUUUUCUGAACCGAGAUAAUGGUUAAGAGGGACAGACGGGGGCAUUCGUAUCGCUGCGUGAGAGGUGAAAUUCUUGGACCGCAGCGAGACGCCCUACUG
Molecule: ribosomal RNA, 347 nt
Filed under: Teratocephalus lirellus
Lineage: Eukaryota; Metazoa; Nematoda; Chromadorea; Rhabditida; Teratocephalidae
Description: SSU rRNA
Rfam family: Eukaryotic small subunit ribosomal RNA
Source: RNAcentral